UGAAACAAGAUUUCCUCCGCUCAAGCCUCUCUUCCCAGAGUCAGAAGAAGAGGUUCGCUGAUGCAUGAAACACUUUUUCCCCCGGUCAAGAUCAUCUCCAUGUCUCUCACUCUUUCUAGUUGCUCCAAAGAUAAGGAGCUUCUUCUACCUAUAAUAAUGUACUAAAUAAAUAUUCUCAAUAAAAAGAUGAUCAGUUACUAAUGAAUUAAAAAAUUGUCUACAUCUACAUUUUGUCAAGAUGAUCGAGAGAGAGAGUGAAAUAACACAAUUUAAACCAAAAACGUCACUUAGACACACAUAGAAAAUAAAUAAAUAAUUACCCCAAACCGCAAACUAGUUUUGUGUAAUAAAUAUAUAAACAUCAAACCGAUCAGCUUAAAUUCACUAAUUAACUUAAUAAGUUCAACUUUAUAUACUAGAAUAGAUUUUCAACAUAAUAAACAAUGACCAAACCUUAUACAAACUCAAAUCUAGCUACACCAAAGUUCUAUCAUCCUCAACUGAAACUUAAUAGUAUUUUACAUAUGAUUUUCCUAUCAUUCAAAUCCAAAAAGGGAAGAUUGGACCUGUGAUGAUAACAAGAUGGUUUCUUCCAUUUGAUGAGUCUGAUCCUGCCUCCAUAGAAGCAGCUGAGAGGAUGAACCAAUUCUUUCAUGGAUGGUAUAUAUAUAUAUUACAGAACAAUGUAACAGUAUAUAGUGUAUGUAUGUAUAAUUAAAAGAUAUACAUGGAUCAGGUACAUGGAGCCGCUAACAAAGGGUAGAUACCCAGACAUCAUGAGGCAGAUUGUGGGUAGUAGGCUUCCCAACUUUACCGAGGAAGAAGCCGCACUCGUUGCCGGUUCAUAUGAUUUUCUUGGUCUCAACUAUUACGUCACUCAGUACGCCCAGCCAAAACCUAACCCAUAUCCUUCAGAGACACACACUGCCAUGAUGGACGCUGGCGUAAAGCUCACAUGUACUAGUCUAUUACCACUAAUUAGAUACAGCCUUUCUAUACAUAUAAAUAUUCUUUUAUCUCCUUUUUGUUGCAACGUACUUUGUGAGUGACCAUCUGUUAUUUCAUCCUUGUGUUUACAGAUGAUAACUCACGUGGUGAAUUUCUUGGUCCACUGGUAUAUAUCAAUGAUCCACCCCCUAAGAUUUGUUUUUCUUUCAUUUUUUCAGUUUUCAGUAUAACAACCCUAAUUAUGUUUUUUAAUUGAUGUGUAUAUUUAUUUACUUCCAUUUUCACAGUUCGUUGAAGACAAGGUAAACGGCAACAGCUAUUACUACCCAAAAGGCAUUUACUACGUAAUGGACUACUUCAAAACCAAAUACGGAGACCCUUUAAUCUAUGUCACCGAGAACGGUGAGUUUUACGAACUCUUUUCAUUUAUACCACAUAAUAAUUAUUGUAUUUUGAUAUUAGUCGAAGAAACUGACUUUAUUGUGGAAUAUUUUUAAUGUGGCGGUUUAUUUAGGAUUUAGUACCCCCAGUGAAGAAAACCGUGAGCAGGCUAUUGCCGAUUACAAGCGAAUUGAUUAUCUCUGCAGUCAUUUAUGUUUUCUCCGCAAGGUCAUCAAGUGAGUGGAUACUACUAUAAAUGAUUUUCUUCUUAUGUUAUUUCUUCUUCUUUUUUGCUAACAUUUAUAUAUGAUUGUUCUUGUUUUCAGGGAGAAGGGUGUCGACGUGAGAGGAUACUUCGCAUGGGCUCUUGGAGACAAUUAUGAAUUCUGUAAAGGCUUUACCGUCAGAUUUGGACUCAGUUACGUUAAUUGGGAAGAUCUUGACGAUAGAAACCUCAAAGAAUCUGGCAAAUGGUACCAGAGAUUCAUCAACGGGACCGUCAAGAACGCUGUGAAACAAGAUUUCCUCCGCUCAAGCCUCUCUUCCCAGAGUCAGAAGAAGAGGUUCGCUGAUGCAUGAAACACUUUUUCCCCCGGUCAAGAUCAUCUCCAUGUCUCUCACUCUUUCUAGUUGCUCCAAAGAUAAGGAGCUUCUUCUACCUAUAAUAAUGUACUAAAUAAAUAUUCUCAAUAAAAAGAUGAUCAGUUACUAAUGAAUAAAAAAAUUGUCUACAGCUACAUUUUGUCAAGAUGAUCGUGAGAGAGAGAGAGUGAAAUAACACAAUUUAAACCAAAAACGUCACUUAGACACACAUAGAAAAUAAAUAAAUAAUUACCCCAAACCGCAAACUAGUUUUGUGUAAUAAAUAUAUAAACAUCAAACCGAUCAGCUUAAAUUCACUAAUUAACUUAAUAAGUUCAACUUUAUAUACUAGAAUAGAUUUUCAACAUAAUAAACAAUGACCAAACCUUAUACAAACUCAAAUCUAGCUGCACCAAAGUUCUAUCAUCCUCAACUGAAACUUAAUAGUAUUUUACAUAUGAUUUUCCUAUCAUUCAAAUGAUUUUAUUUUAUUUUGGUUCUUAUAUAAUCAAGAAAACCAAAAGAAGCUAAACCUCAGUACUUUAUGUUCUAUGAAUGCUUCCCCAUUCUCAUAUUAAGAUCUCGACGACAGAAACCUCAAAGAAUCUGGCAAAUGGUACCAGAGAUUCAUUAACGGGACUGUCAAGAAUUCUGCGAAACAAGAUUUCCUCCGCUCAAGCCUCUCUUCCCAGAGUCAGAAGAAGAGGCUUUCUGAUGCAUGAAACACUUUUCCCCCUCAAGAUCAU
RNAcentral lists this long non-coding RNA (2657 nucleotides) under Brassica napus (rape). RNAcentral's name for it is "long non-coding RNA (BNAP_LNC001837)". Lineage: Eukaryota; Viridiplantae; Streptophyta; Magnoliopsida; Brassicales; Brassicaceae. The record is from RNAcentral.